This 208-nucleotide ribosomal RNA is filed under the name uncultured bacterium. RNAcentral describes it as "partial 16S ribosomal RNA". It matches the Rfam family "Bacterial small subunit ribosomal RNA", at positions 568 to 775 of the family's 1533-position model. The record is from RNAcentral.
CGCGUAGGCGGCCUGCUAAAUCACACGUGAAAUCCCUCAGCUUAACUGGGGAACUGCGUGUGAUACUGGAUGGCUUGGAUUUGGGAGAGGGAUGCGGAAUUCCAGGUGUAGCGGUGAAAUGCGUAGAUAUCUGGAGGAACACCGGUGGCGAAGGCGGCAUCCUGGACCAAUAUUGACGCUGAGGAGCGAAAGCCAGGGGAGCAAAACG